This 230-nucleotide ribosomal RNA is filed under the name uncultured bacterium. RNAcentral describes it as "partial 16S ribosomal RNA". It matches the Rfam family "Bacterial small subunit ribosomal RNA", at positions 15 to 238 of the family's 1533-position model. The record is from RNAcentral.
GAUCCUGGCUCAGGAUGAACGCUAGCGGCAGGCUUAACACAUGCAAGUCGAGGGGCAGCAUAAUGGAUAGCAAUAUCUAUGGUGGCGACCGGCGCACUGGUGCGUAACGCGUAUGCAACCUACCUUUAACAGGUGGAUAACACUGAGAAAUUGGUACUAAUACCCCAUAAUAUCAUAGAAGGCAUCUUUUAUGGUUGAAAAUUCCGAUGGUUAGAGAUGGGCAUGCGUUG